CGGAGGGGCGUAGCGUUGUUCGGAAUUACUGGGCGUAAAGACGCACGUAGGCGGAUCGGAAAGUACAGAGGUGAAAUACCCAGGGCUCAACCUUGGAACUGCCUUUGAAACUACCUGGUCUUGAGUUCGAGAGAGGUGAGUGGAAUUCCGAGUGUAGAGGUGAAAUUACGUAGAUAUUCGGAGGAACACCAGUGGCGAAGGCGGCUCACUGGCUCGAUACUGACGCUGAGGUGCGAAAAGCGUGGGGGAGCAAACAGGAUU
Molecule: ribosomal RNA, 261 nt
Filed under: uncultured bacterium
Lineage: Bacteria
Description: partial 16S ribosomal RNA
Rfam family: Bacterial small subunit ribosomal RNA
Source: RNAcentral